GUAAGAUAAAAUAAAAGGCUACAUCAGAUAGCAAAUCAAGCAUCCAUGUGCUACCAAAAACAUAAGAGAGUCAAAAUAUAAAAACAAGGUCUUUCCUAAAUUAUAAGCCAAAAAGGGUGAACUAACAAGUCAGAUCAAGAACCCUCAGACUGGGUGGUGUCCACGUUGGAGUCAAGGUCCUCUGGGGGUACCACGCCAGACCAAGCCUCAUUCAGCAUAGAGAACUCCUUGUAGUCUUGUGGCUUGAGUUGGGGAAUUUUCUUGCCGAGGGCCAC
Molecule: long non-coding RNA, 275 nt
Filed under: Solanum tuberosum (potato)
Lineage: Eukaryota; Viridiplantae; Streptophyta; Magnoliopsida; Solanales; Solanaceae
Description: long non-coding RNA (STUB_LNC001895)
Source: RNAcentral